This 1949-nucleotide long non-coding RNA is filed under the name Capra hircus (goat). RNAcentral describes it as "lncRNA (ENSCHIG00010002027.1)". Lineage: Eukaryota; Metazoa; Chordata; Mammalia; Artiodactyla; Bovidae. The record is from RNAcentral.
AUGAUAAGCUCCUCAGGUGCCAGGGGAAUGUUAUCAGAGGAAAUCAUCUUCCUCCCUGUGACAAGACGGAUGGAUCCUCAGCAUACUCACAGAAAACUGGGGCCCCCAAGGAGCAGAAUUUCAUCAAAUACUCAGUGGGGAAGUGUGCGCAAAACAGCAAUGGGAACCAGUGGGAACACAAUUUUAUUAACUCCAAAAAGUUCUACCAAUUGGGUUCUUAGGAGUGGUCUCCAGAUUGAUAUGCCUGCAGACAAAGGACUUGUAGUGACAAAUCUGAUAAAAUAUGUGAGAAACACCGUCUUUCUUCACUUAAGAUUCCAAUGUUAAAUGUGGAAGACUGUUUCAGUCUAUAAAACAUAGUCAUUAUAUAAUCUACUGUGCCACAGCAAGGACACAAAUUUAAUACAAUUGGAUGUACAAAAAACUUAGAAAUGCAACCUCUUUUAUUUUGCCUAUGAGCAAAUAUUUUGUCUUUGCCACCUGCUGGGUGACAGGAAAGAAAUAUAAGUGCCCAAUCUGGUUGAAGUUGUGCUUGGCUUCUCCAGGAAAGACAACUUAGUCCCAGAUUUUUCAUCCUUAUAGUCCUUUGCUUUCAUUCAAAACGGCAUCCAAGGAUGAGGUAAAGGGGUACGGCUUGAGUUACCAGGAAGAAAUGUCCUCAGGUGGUUAGGUAUUGUGUACUUUGAUGCCUCUAAUCUCUGGAGCAACAUCUUGUGUUCAAAAGCUUACUGCCUGCCUUGCUAGUAUGUGUGGCUAACGCCUGUGGCUACUGUGAUUCCAGGUCUGUUCUUUGACUUAACUGCUCUGGGCACUGUUGGAGGGAAUGUAAGUUGGCAUAACCAAUAUGAAGAGCAGCAUGGAGAUUCUUCAAAGUUAAAAAGAGAACUACCAUAUGAUCAAUCUUUCUUCUGGGUAUAUAUCCAAAGUAAAUGAAAACAGGAUCUCAAAAAGACAUCUGCAGUCCCACUUAUUCACUAUAGCCAAGGUAUGCAAACAACCUAUGUCUCCAUCAAUGGAUGAAGGAAUANNNNNNNNNNNNNNNNNNNNNNNNNNNNNNNNNNNNNNNNNNNNNNNNNNNNNNNNNNNNNNNNNNNNNNNNNNNNNNNNNNNNNNNNNNNNNGGGCACAAUGCUAAGUGAAAUAAGUCAGCAGAGAAAGAAAAAUACUAUAUGAUGUCACUUCUAUGUGAAAUCUAAAAAAGUCAAACUCAUAGAAAUAGAGCGCAGGAAAUGGCAGCCAAGUGUUGGGGUGGGGUGAAAUGGGAGAAGCUAGUCAAAGGGUACAAACUUCUACUUAAAAGAUGAAUACACUCUAAUGAAGAGCAUGGCCAUUAUAAUCAAUAAUACUUUAUUAUACAUAGGAAAGUUGCUAAGAAAGCAGAUCUUAAAUGUUCUCACCACAGAAAAGAAGUGAUAAUUAUGUGAGGUGAUGGAAGUGUUAGUUAACACUAUGGUGGUCCUCAUUUUGCAAUAUUUAAGUUUAUCAAACCAACAGGUCAUACACUUUAAAUUUAAAUAAUGUCAUGUGUCCAUAAUAUCUCUAUAAAGUUGGAAAAAAAUAUAAAAGAACUCUUCCCAUCUUUCCAGUAGAAGUUUUCACACUGUGACCUAGAAAUAAAUAGAUCUACAUUCUGACUUGGGUUUCCUAAACCAGUUUCCGCUAAAGCAAAAAUUUCAGCCUGGGAACUGUCACAUGCAAGGAAAUAUAAAUAUUUUAACAAUAACUCAUUUGUCUCUUGGCUUCAUAAGUAUCUCUAGCCAGAAGGAUUUACUCAGGAAAAAAAAAUAAUGGCUACUCAAUUUUUCUGUUCCAAUUGAAUGAGUGAUUCAUUCACUGGAGGUCUAAGUGAUGAUCAUAAGUAGAAAUAUAGAACACAGUGUUGGAAGGAAGAAAUCUCUAUUUCAUGGGCCUUAGGAAACUGAGGCUAGGUUACGGGAAGUGACUUACUCA